Molecule: ribosomal RNA, 464 nt
Filed under: uncultured bacterium
Lineage: Bacteria
Description: bacterial SSU rRNA
Rfam family: Bacterial small subunit ribosomal RNA
Source: RNAcentral
GUCCAGACUCCUACGGGAGGCAGCAGUGAGGAAUAUUGGUCAAUGGCCGAGAGGCUGAACCAGCCAAGUCGCGUGAGGGAUGACGGCCCUACGGGUUGUAAACCUCUUUUGUCGGGGAGCAAAAGCCGGACGUGUCCGGCUGUGAGAGUACCCGAAGAAAAAGCAUCGGCUAACUCCGUGCCAGCAGCCGCGGUAAUACGGAGGAUGCGAGCGUUAUCCGGAUUUAUUGGGUUUAAAGGGUGCGCAGGCGGAUUUUUAAGUCAGCGGUCAAAUCGUGGGGCUCAACCCCAUCCAGCCGUUGAAACUGGCAGUCUCGAGUUGGAGAGAAGUAUGCGGAAUGCGCGGUGUAGCGGUGAAAUGCAUAGAUAUCGCGCAGAACUCCGAUUGCGAAGGCAGCAUGCCGGCUCCACACUGACGCUGAGGCACGAAAGCGUGGGUAUCGAACAGGAUUAGAUACCCGAGUA